GCUCAGGCCAGUUGACAUGGAGGACAAGAGGGCCUUGUGUGAACCACUGCCCCUUCCCGCUGAAGUAGCAGGAGGUGAAUCUCAGGAGUCUCUCCGAGAUGUGGAAAGAAUUAGGUCAGAGGUUGAAACACAAGCCAAGACUAUUGAUUCCCUGUGCCAAACUCUGUCCAUGCAAGAGGCAGAGAGAACCCAGAAUCUCAAUACCAUGGCAGUCCUUCAAUCCCAGCACUUUUGAGGGCCUAGGCUGUGAGGUCUCCACUGAGCUCCACUACCUGCGCACUCUCCUGUCCCACUCUCCCUGCUCCUGUCCUACUCUCCAAGCCUCAUGCUCCAGCACUCACCCCUCAGAUAUCCAGAGGCAGGCUGCCAUCAACCACAUCUCUCAGGAACUCUACCACAGGUAGAUCUGGAUAAGUCAGUCUGGAGUGUGGUGUGGUGGGGAUACUUUGGUGAACUACACUUGCAUGAUGAUAAGCAGACUUUAGCUCAGUGGGAUAAUGCAGUAAUAACAUGUAAUUCCCUCUCCAUAUUUGUCUGUGUAUGUUGUCUGUUUCUUCAGUCGAAGAGUCCUGUGGGAGCAGAUUGCUGAGCUAAGGGAGGAAGUCCACAACUUUCAUGGCCUGUUUAGCAAGUUUGAUUUUAUGUUUUUCAGAACAAGACCCCCUUCCAUGAUGUUGUUCUAAUGGAGGCUUUUUAUAAACCUUACUCAAGUUUUCCUUUCCUUUUUAGAAAAACUAAGAGACGAAACUAUGCGCAGAUUGACAGAGAAAUACUGCAAAUAUUAUAAGAGCUCAGAGCUCAGAGCUCACAUUUCUCUCCCCCAAAUCACUUUGACAUGAAUGAUUUCACUCAUCAAACAAAUUAUACAAACUUUACACUUGAAACAAUCUUCUGAACUAUACAUGGGUUAUAAUGAUUUGGACUGCUGAAGCUUAUCUCAUGUUAUGUGACAUGUUCUGGAAUAUAUAUCUCCAUUUUCAGUGCUUGGAGAGGAUGAUUGACAGCUAUUAGAUGAAGGAUGACAUACUCAAACUGCAGAGGCCUCAGGAAAUGCUCAGGUCAAAUUUAAGGUCAGAUGUUUCUGAGUUACAGAAUAAGCUUCAAACUAUAACAAUAUCGAAAGGCAAGGCUCCCAAUAAAACGGGCCUAACUGAACGAAUAGGACAGAGGGUUAUGCCAGCCGAUUCAGAUUCAGGCAAAGUGGAACGUGCCAAAGGAAUGACACCAAAGAUCAAAGUGGAAAUCAAUGUGUCUGCCAGAAGGAAAUAAAGUUCAUAGCUGGAAUCCUCAAUCUAUCUUUUGGCCUACCUUGUCUCACUGCCAAAUAAAAUAAAACGAGUUCUACACUGACAA
Molecule: long non-coding RNA, 1353 nt
Organism: Oncorhynchus gorbuscha (pink salmon)
Lineage: Eukaryota; Metazoa; Chordata; Actinopteri; Salmoniformes; Salmonidae
Exons: 8
Source: RefSeq, a predicted model, not a curated record